Molecule: ribosomal RNA, 1401 nt
Filed under: metagenome
Description: bacterial LSU rRNA
Rfam family: Bacterial large subunit ribosomal RNA
Source: RNAcentral
CUGCGAUAUGACAGAACUGUGGGGACGCAUGUGGAAAGCAUAAGCACGGAAUGGAAAGCCGUGUACAAGCGAGGUAGGAGUCACGUAGGAAAAUCCGCGUGGCAAUCCAAAGGCAUGAUGUGGACCGAACUUUCAGUAGGGAAGUAUGUGAGCCAUGUGCCGGGAAAAGCCGCUAUUGUUCAUACCGCACCCGUACCGUAAACCGACACAGGUGGAUGAGGAGAGAAUCCUAAGGCCGACGGAAGAAGCAUUGUUAAGGAGCUCGGCAAAAUAGCCCCGUAACUUCGGGAGAAGGGGUGCCUGGAAACAGGCCGCAGAGAAUUGGCCCAAGCAACUGUUUAGCAAAAACACAGGUCUAUGCGAAACCGAAAGGUGAGGUAUAUGGGCUGACGCCUGCCCGGUGCUGGAAGGUUAAGAGGAGAGCUUAGCGCAAGCGAAGGUUUGAAUUUAAGCCCCAGUAAACGGCGGCCGUAACAAUAACGGUCCUAAGGUAGCGAAAUUCCUUGUCGGGUAAGUUCCGACCCGCACGAAAGGCGUAAUGAUUUGGGCGCUGUCUCGACAAUGCAUCCGGUGAAAUUGAAGUACCAGUGAAGAUGCUGGUUACCUGCGCCAGGACGGAAAGACCCCAUGGAGCUUUACUCCAGCUUGACACUGGGAUUCGGUAAUGCAUGUACAGGAUAGGUGGGAGGCAAUGAAAUAGGGACGCUAGUUUCUAUGGAGCCGCUGUUGGGAUACCACCCUUGCGUUAUUGGAUUUCUAACCUGCCGCCGUUACCCGGCGGGGGGACAAUGUCUGGCGGGGGGUUUGACUGGGGCGGUCGCCUCCGAAAGUGUAUCGGAGGCGCCCAAAGGUUCCCUCAGAAUGGUUGGAAACCAUUCGAAGAGUGCAAAGGCAGAAGGGAGCUUGACUGCGACACCGACGGGUGGAGCAGGUACGAAAGUAGGGCUUAGUGAUCCGGUGGUAUUAAGUGGGAAUGCCAUCGCUCAACGGAUAAAAGCUACCCUGGGAUAACAGGCUUAUCACUCCCAAGAGUUCACAUCGACGGAUUGGUUUGGCACCUCGAUGUCGGCUCAUCGCAUCCUGGGGCUGUAGUAGGUCCCAAGGGUUGGGCUGUUCGCCCAUCAAAGCGGUACGCGAGCUGGGUUCAGAACGUCGUGAGACAGUUCGGUCCCUAUCCGGCGCGGGCGUAGGAUAUUUGAGAGGAGCUGCCCUUAGUACGAGAGGACCGGGGUGGACUGACCUCUGGUGUACCGGUUGUCAUACCAAUGGCACGGCCGGGUAGCCAAGUCGGGCAGGGAUAAACGCUGAAGGCAUCUAAGCGUGAAGCCCCCCUCAAGAUGAGAUAUCCCAAGACCCCUCGAAGAACACGAGGUAGAUAGGGCAGAGGUGGACGUGCAGUAA